This 95-nucleotide ribosomal RNA is filed under the name fungal endophyte. RNAcentral's name for it is "5.8S ribosomal RNA". It matches the Rfam family "5.8S ribosomal RNA", at positions 1 to 95 of the family's 154-position model. From Rfam's summary of the family: 5.8S ribosomal RNA (5.8S rRNA) is a component of the large subunit of the eukaryotic ribosome. It is transcribed by RNA polymerase I as part of the 45S precursor that also contains 18S and 28S rRNA. The record is from RNAcentral. Lineage: Eukaryota; Fungi.
AACUUUCAACAACGGAUCUCUUGGUUCUGGCAUCGAUGAAGAACGCAGCGAAAUGCGAUAAGUAAUGUGAAUUGCAGAAUUCAGUGAAUCAUCGA